RNAcentral lists this long non-coding RNA (614 nucleotides) under Mytilus galloprovincialis (Mediterranean mussel). Lineage: Eukaryota; Metazoa; Mollusca; Bivalvia; Mytilida; Mytilidae. The record is from RNAcentral.
GAUUUACAAUUAAUAGAACAAAGCCUUUUGUUAAUUUUCCAGUUUUCAACAAUAUGCAUAUGUAAUAAGAGAUUGUUAAACAUCCCCUUCUUAUAGCUAGUGAUAGGAUAUUACUUUCUAAAACGGUAUCUAUCGGAAAUCGAUUGUACGUCAACUUGAGUUGAGAAAUUCUUCAUUUUUUUCAAAUAUACAAGAAUCGAUCGGACAAUUGAAAUUAAUAACGUGAAUAAUAAGUAUUGAAGGGUGGAUAUUUAUAUCAAUCCCCGUUAGGCCGAUAUAUUGAUGUGUUUAUGAAAUUAUUCGAUACGAGACUUCACGUGCUAGUGCAUUGUCAAACCGGUAGUCAACAGGAAGAUAUGUCAACCAUAACUAGAAUACAUUAUCCUGUUUUGAACCUACUAUUGUCUUUAAUCUUAACCUCAUAGCAAACAACAACCAUAAUGAUUAAUCUUUAUAUUAACCGAACCCUGAUAUGCUCGUACCCAGUGCAUUUCUCAAAUUCUGUGGUAAAUCAUUCGUACAUUGCACAUUGUGUGCAACGGUGUGGUUAAUAAGUCACGACAGCUUACGCUAUUUCAAGUUUCACCAUACUACUAGGUUGCGUCAUGUCCGGG